Molecule: non-coding RNA, 73 nt
Organism: Rhododendron griersonianum
Lineage: Eukaryota; Viridiplantae; Streptophyta; Magnoliopsida; Ericales; Ericaceae
Source: the annotation of a GenBank genome assembly
GCAGAAAUAGCUUAAUGGUAGAGCAUAGCCUCACCAAGUCUGAGGUUGAGGGUUCAAGUCCCCUCCUUCUGCU